Molecule: long non-coding RNA, 494 nt
Filed under: Mytilus galloprovincialis (Mediterranean mussel)
Lineage: Eukaryota; Metazoa; Mollusca; Bivalvia; Mytilida; Mytilidae
Source: RNAcentral
CACCGAACAGCAAGCUAUAAAGGGCCCCAAAAAAUUACUAGUGUAAAACCAUUCAAACGGGAAAACCAACGGUCUAAUCUAUAUAAAAAACGAGAAACGAGAAACAUUUAUGAACUACAUCAACAAACGACAACCACAGAACAUCAGGUUCCUGACUUAGGACAGGUGCAAACAAAUGCAGCGGAUUUAAACGUUUUAAUAGGUACCAACCUUCACCCUUACCUGGAACAAUAGACUAAUGUAACAUCACAACAUAGAAAGACAUUCUAUAAAAUAUCAAUUGAAAUGGCUUAACUCAAUCAAAAGACACAAGUGAACAUACACUAAUAAACCCAAGGGCAAAGAAUAGCACGUUUAUUUUUAUAAUACAUCUGUUGAUUCAAAUCCACAAUACUCAUUCACAUACACAAAGAUUUCACAUUCUUACAACACAGAUAUAGUGUUGGAGUGUUGGAAAACACAGAAGCUCUGCAUGGAAGCAAUGAUAACCCAAG